This 565-nucleotide ribosomal RNA is filed under the name Morchella americana. RNAcentral's name for it is "eukaryotic LSU rRNA". It matches the Rfam family "Eukaryotic large subunit ribosomal RNA", at positions 67 to 644 of the family's 3401-position model. The record is from RNAcentral. Lineage: Eukaryota; Fungi; Ascomycota; Pezizomycetes; Pezizales; Morchellaceae.
AACAGGGAUUGCCUCAGUAACGGCGAGUGAAGCGGCAAAAGCUCAAAUUUUAAAGCUGGCACCUCCGGUGUCCGCGUUGUAAUUUUGUGAGGCAUCUCCGGGUGGGGCGCCGGCCUAAGUUCCUUGGAACAGGACGUCAUAGAGGGUGAGAAUCCCGUGCUUGGCUGGCUGUCCCCGUCCAUGUGAGGUGUCUUCGACGAGUCGAGUUGUUUGGGAAUGCAGCUCAAAAUGGGUGGUAAAUUUCAUCUAAAGCUAAAUAUUGGUGGGAGACCGAUAGCGCACAAGUAGAGUGAUCGAAAGAUGAAAAGCACUUUGAAAAUAGAGUUAAAAAGUACGUGAAAUUGUUGAAAGGGAAGCGCUUGAGACCAGACUUCGGUGGGGAGUGAUCAGCCGUCCUUCUGGGCGGUGCACUUGCCCCCCUCCGGGCCAGCAUCGGUUGGGACGGCGGGAUAAAGGUCCCGGGAAUGUGGCUCCUCUCGGGGAGUGUUAUAGCCCGGGUGAAUGCCGCCAGCCCCGACCGAGGACCGCGCCUUCGGGCUAGGAUGCUUGGCAUAAUGGUCUUCAG